RNAcentral lists this long non-coding RNA (233 nucleotides) under Prunus persica (peach). RNAcentral's name for it is "long non-coding RNA (PPER_LNC006228)". The record is from RNAcentral. Lineage: Eukaryota; Viridiplantae; Streptophyta; Magnoliopsida; Rosales; Rosaceae.
UGAGUGCAUGCAAUAGAAACCUGUAGACAACACUAACUCAUAUGCUGAAAAGAAAUGAAGAAAAAACCUUGACUAUGUUAUAAAUCUAGAGGAAUUGGAGAGAGGGAAUUGGGAUAGAUCAAGCAUAGAAAUCUGAUGUUUUCAUUCUUCAGUAUAUCUGAAAUGUGUAUAUUCAGUAGGGAAGGGGGGAAGCCUUUUAUAGGCAUUUGGGGACUCCACAACUCCACAUUUAC